CCUACGGGGGGCUGCAGUGGGGAAUAUUGGACAAUGGGGGGAACCCUGAUCCAGCCAUGCCGCGUGUGUGAAGAAGGCCCUCGGGUUGUAAAGCACUUUCAGUGAGGAAGAACGCCUGGUGGUUAAUACCCAUCAGGAAAGACAUCACUCACAGAAGAAGCACCGGCUAACUCCGUGCCAGCAGCCGCGGUAAUACGGAGGGUGCGAGCGUUAAUCGGAAUUACUGGGCGUAAAGCGCGCGUAGGUGGCUUGAUAAGCCGGUUGUGAAAGCCCCGGGCUCAACCUGGGAACGGCAUCCGGAACUGUCAAGCUAGAGUGCAGGAGAGGAAGGUAGAAUUCCCGGUGUAGCGGUGAAAUGCGUGGAGAUCGGGAGGAAUACCAGUGGCGAAGGCGGCCUUCUGGACUGACACUGACACUGAGGUGCGAAAGCGUGGGUAGCAAACAGGAUUAGAUACCCCAGUAGUC
RNAcentral lists this ribosomal RNA (465 nucleotides) under Vreelandella stevensii. RNAcentral describes it as "partial 16S ribosomal RNA". It matches the Rfam family "Bacterial small subunit ribosomal RNA", at positions 338 to 795 of the family's 1533-position model. The record is from RNAcentral. Lineage: Bacteria; Pseudomonadati; Pseudomonadota; Gammaproteobacteria; Oceanospirillales; Halomonadaceae.